Dipodomys ordii (Ord's kangaroo rat) is the source of this 426-nucleotide non-coding RNA. The record is from the annotation of a RefSeq genome assembly. Lineage: Eukaryota; Metazoa; Chordata; Mammalia; Rodentia; Heteromyidae.
AUGAGGCAGUCCUGCAAUGGAGCCCCUGCACAGAGCUCAGAGCCCACUAUGCACCUGAACUGGAGCUUCCUCUUCUUAGUUGCUGCAGCUACAGGUGUCCACUCCCAGAUCAAACUGGAGCAGCCUGGGGCUGAAGUGAGGACGACUGGAGACUCGGCCAAACUGGCUUGCCAGGCCUCUGGAUACACCUUCACCAGCUAUUAUAUGCACUGGGUGAGGCAGAAGGCAGUACAGGGGCUUGAGUGGAUUGGAAGGAUUGACCCUGAAGAUGGUGAGACCAAAUAUGCUCAGAAGUUCCAGGGCAAGGUCUCCCUGACUGCAGACACCUACCUCCUCCAGCACAGCAUCCCUGGAGCUGAGCAGACUGACAGCAGAAGACUCGGCCAUGUACUACUGUGCGAGGCAGUGUGCACACCCACAUCCUGA